AUUUACUGCACCACAAUAUUUCCCUACCUUUCUGACUUGUGUCCCCUUCAAACAAAAGUGUCCACUAAUGAGUCUUUGUCAAAGGAAACAUAACAUAACAUAUCGUUUUAAUUACAUGGGAUUUUCUUUUUCCUGUGUUAACUUUCAAAUAAUUUAAUGUUGAGCAUUAUCCAUGUUAUCCAACUUCUGCCUAUAUAAUGCAAGCCACUUCGCAUGCAGAUGGAAUGUUUUUUAUGCUCUGAUAUAUUUUGAGGAUUUUAGUUAUCUGUGGUCUAUUUGACCAUGGUCACACCUCUUAUGAAAUCAUAUGAUCCAAUAAUAUGUCAUAAUGUGAGUGAUGUUAAAAAACGUUUGUCAUGGAAUUCCUUUGUAUGAGGUGAAUGUGGGCGUUAUGUGGGUGUACCUAAAAUACAAAUUUAAGCCGGCCUACCAAAGCAAAGUUGCAUGUUGCUGUUUUUCUUUUGUAUGGUUUAUCACGGACCACUGAGGAUAAGAGAUGCCAGUUACUACUGCAACUAUGGGUUGUAAACUCAAUAGGUCUCUACUGCACUAUGCAAUCCUCUUGAUCCUCCUGGAAGCUCAGUUGAGUCCUGUGUUUUCUGCUCCGAUUUGUCUAUCUAAUAUCUCCUGUGAUCAUUUGAAGAGAACCAGUGACCUUGCCAAGGUAUUCGAAUUGGAAGCAACUGAGCUACUGAAUUUAUCUAUAAAAAAUUAUGGAAAAAGGAAUGAGACAAUACGACCUGAAGUUCCUGACACCCAGAUAUCUGGUAAAAGCACUUGUGAGAAGCUGCAGAACAUCUAUAUCAAGAAUGAGCUUUUUAAGUUACACAUUUUACAAGCCAAAAAAUAUCACCGAAUACUUUUGAGGCACCCAGGUGACAUUGUUAGUAAAACAGAGCGUGUUAAACAAACACUAGAAAAUUUAAACAUUAUGAUAAAGACUAUGCUCAAACCAUUCAAUUUCACUCCCCCAACCCCACCCCGAGAGUUACAGGAUCACCACAACCAAAAAAUUUAUGUAUGGAGUGUUGCGGUCAGACUGACGGAAUGGUCCGAACAAGUGCUGACGGUAGUUAAUCAGACACACUGUCACUAAAAACAGAUAAGAUUGAGAAACUAUCUCUGUUAUCUUGGAUCCACCACCUCUUUCCUAUUCCUGUCAUGGUUAAGGUUUCCUUUUUAACCCUUGAUGAUGUUUUGACAGGGAAUUCAAAGUUGUAUGUUUCAGAAUGGUCCCUUUGACUAUAUAUGAAUUAUUUACUGGUACCUUGUUUAUAUGUAUCUAUUUCUUUGAAUGUGAGUCUGAUGUAUGUUAAAUUUGCAAAAUUAUUUAUAUUUGAGAAUAUUUAUUUAUUUUGUUAAGGUUAAUGAAAACUAUCAUUGUUAUUAUUAUUAUUAUUAUACCAGCCACUGUUCCCAGUGUUAACAAUAUCUUAAUAGGUUUUAUUAUUUAAUUGUUCCAGUGUUUCAGAAAGUUUCAUUCAUUAAUUUGUCAUUUAUUUAUGACUUAAUAUUACUCGAGUGUGGAUAUGUGUUGUGCUGGUGUGUGUGUAUUUAUUAUCACAUCCUGUUUAAGGUAAUCUUCUGAUCAGUGAUGAGUAAAACCUUUGUGCUCUUGAAACUGAGGAACUUGUCAAAUUGUGUAAAGUUUUUCUGCAAUAAUUAGCCUUCUACUGCAAUUUUGGGUUGUGUAUGUGUACCCAGAGAUUAUGUAAUACCAACAGAAAAUUGUUUGUUAUGUGAAUUGAUGCCUUAAACUGAAAUAUGAUGACAAGAACAGUCUAUAUGUUUCUGAAACACAUACUAUAUGUGGAGAGUAUUACAUAACUUGCAAGUUUCAGUUUUUGUUUUGUUUUUCUGUUUGAAGCUUAAUUUUCUGUAACCUAUUUAUUUAUUUUCCAGCCAGUUCUUUUUAACUUAUUUAUUGUUUUUAUUAUAUAUUUAUCUCUUGAAAAUGGCAGCUUCUUUGUAUACAAGAGGCAGGUAUCUACGGUUUAUGUGAAGUGCAACCAUGACCUCAUCUCUGUAAAGUCUUUAACUACAACCUACAUUAAAUUCAGUAUUAUCAGCUUGUUGUUUUGUUUUGUUUUAACUUACGCUGAAAAAGAGUUGUUUGUAUUUUGUAAGUACAAAAUUUAAACUUUAAUCCAACUUCUUCUCCCUCUGAUUUGCUUGUGAGAUCAAACAACAGGGUUGAGUUAAAAUUUUA
This is a long non-coding RNA of Oreochromis aureus, 2209 nucleotides long. The record is from Ensembl. NCBI's taxonomy places the organism in Eukaryota, Metazoa, Chordata, Actinopteri, Cichliformes, Cichlidae.